Molecule: non-coding RNA, 334 nt
Organism: Lactuca sativa (garden lettuce)
Lineage: Eukaryota; Viridiplantae; Streptophyta; Magnoliopsida; Asterales; Asteraceae
Source: RefSeq, a predicted model, not a curated record
UUGCAGGUGUUUUUCUUUAUAACAACAGGAGCAUGUGAUAUCUGUGGAAGCAUACGCUAGAGGGACUAUAUAAUUUGGCUGAACUGAAGAGGAUUGAACAAGAAACUCACCUCAUGGAGAGUGAGUUGUAUAGUUGGCUGCUAAAUGUAUCCUCUCAAGUAAAUAGUCUACCUCUUCUAAUCAUAAAAUGGCCAAAAUAGGGAAAGUUGGAAGUUAAAGGAUAUUUGAAGAGUUCUAAAGAAUAACAAUGUAAUGAUCAUUCGGUUUCAUUGUUGAUUCCAAUUAAUUAUGUAUAUGGAAUUUAUCCAAUAAUAAAAAAAUGAUUUUAUUGUAA